This 63-nucleotide transfer RNA is filed under the name Obama sp. MAP-2014. Its description in RNAcentral is "tRNA-Met". The record is from RNAcentral. Lineage: Eukaryota; Metazoa; Platyhelminthes; Tricladida; Geoplanidae.
GUAAUAAUAAGUUAAUUAAACUAGUUGGCUCAUUCCCAAAAAAUGAAAGAUUUUCUUAUUAAA